UGGGGAUUGGGGUGUUGCAGGGAAUGGGACCAUGGAGAGCCGACAAAAGAUGAAUACCAACCCAGCUGCUCUCAGGCUUGCCCAGGAAGCAGGAUGACUGCAAGAAAAGGAAUCCCAGCUAGGCAAGAGACAGCAGUAAAUAUAAUGCCUCUAAACUGAUUCUGCUGGGCCAAACUGCAAUCAAAAUAUUAUUUCCUAUUCUCCAGGAACGUUCAGACAUGCUCGGCUCGGAGAGAGAAUAUUUCUCACAGGAGCGAGUUUUUGAUUUUUUGCAUUGUUGGCUCAGAACCAGAAUAUGAUCUAGGCUUCUGUAAUGCCCAUUGAGCCUGGCAAACUGAACAAACAUUGAUGCACCGACGAAGAAAACAGCUAGCAAGAACGAAGACACAAGUUCAGAAAUUAACAUUUUCUGACAGAUCCAUUCAGCAAACGACAGGCUGAUCAGUCAAAGGCGGUGAUCUCUAAACUUCCCUUCAGCCACAGCUGCCACGUCACAGCACAAGGAGCAGAUACACGACACAAGAGGUACAACCGUCAGAGCAGACAUGACGCGGACACCAAUUCCCAAACUGCUGGUGUUAUAUAUGUCAUUUUUUAGAAACAUUCCAGUGGUACGGUUGAAAAUGAGGCCUAUUUAAGCAAAACAUUUCCAUUUCAAAUAGGAUGUACAGUUUAUGGGAUUAGAAGGAACACACUUCACAAUCAACCUGAGCAUUUUGGGGAGGGCUUGAGAGAAACUAUUUUUGUACCACCGCACUCAAAUGUAAUGGUUUUUGCACAGCACGAUCACACUACUUUCUACAGUAGUGGUUCUCAAACCUAUCUGAUCCCCCCCGGUGUUUUGUCUGUAGUAGUUUAUGCCACCAAUGGCUGCCCAGAAGUAAGGGUGGCGUGGUAUGGCAUUGUCACCCUUACUUCUCUGCUGCUGCUGGUGGUGCUGCCUUCAGAGCUUGGCACCCGGCCAGCAGCCACCACGCUCCCCCUGCCCAGCUCUGAAGGCAGUGCCAUUCCAUGCCACGUUUACUUCUAUGCUGCAGUUGGCAGUGGUGCUGUCUUCAGAGCCGGGUGUCUGGCCUGCAGCUGCUGCUCUCCGGAUGCCCAGCUCUGAAUGCACGCAGUAAGUUUUUUCCCCUCUAAAGCUUCUCACACACCCACAGAAUAUAUUCCACACACACCCCCUCCAGUUUGAGACCCCCAGUUCUAUAGGACUGUCUAAGGACUUCAGGGUAGGCUAGCAAGACGGUCGUUGGGGAUAUAUUCCAAGCUUAACUGACUGAUUUCUCACACAAAAAUGUGUGUGUAUAUAUAUAUAAACUUAAGGUUCUCCAGCCACCUGCUGCAGAAGUGGAGACCAACUGCUCUAUUUGUUUUCAUGGCUCUCUCGGAGGAAGUGCUUUCAUUCUUAAAAAAUUACCCUUUACUUUGGUUGCUUCGUACCAUGGGGCCUUGCAGCCGUGAGCUUUCCUGGCCCCAAAGACUGCCUCUGACUCACAUGAACCUUCAGAAAUAUUCAACGAGCUAAGUGCAUAAGUCUUUAUUUUAAAGCUACUCAUCUAUUUGCCAUUAGGUUUUCAACUCCAUGGUCUACUUCAGGAAUUAUGGAUGAAACUUUUGCUCGCUGUCCCCAUCGUGUAAUAACGGUUCAGACUAUUGCUCCACAACAUCUUUAAAUGAAAAUAUUAAAUCCACAAGAAGGUGAGGAAAUUAUACCCACCUCCAACAAAUCAGUUUUCUUUGAUAUUCCUGAAAAUCAGUUCACUAAACAUUGAUUUAGAAAGAGACACAAAGAAGAGAGGAGUGUUGUGUGUCUGCCUGUCGGUAGAUGGACUAAUUAUUUCCUGUCCUCACAGCAGUAGGCUGUACAUUUGUAGUUAUAAAGCCAACUAUCUCAAUAACAUGACAAAUGACAAAACACGUGCAUCUGUGCUGUAGAAUACUACAGUAAGCAGUGUUUAGAAACAAUUAUGUUUCAUCAGAGAAAGCCUCUUGAUCUGACAUGCAGUUUCACGCCCUUCCUGACUCAGAAAGCGCCUACUAUACCAUAUGGAUCCGCUUACAUAUUUUAAUCCAUGGACAGAGGAAAAGCCAUGUGUAUAGGGUCCAUUUUCUGUGGAUUCAGCUUACUAACACAGAUGGCAUAUAAAAGCUGCGAUUGCUCACACCACUGCUUUGCAAGUGAAUCAUUACUGGCUUCAAUACAUGCUUGCUCUGAGUCAUAUGAAACAGCAGACAGUGGCAGUAUCUAAAUCGUGCUUGUCAUAAAUAUAAAGGGAAGGGUAAACACCUUUAAAAUCCCUCUUGGCCAGAGGAAAAACCCUUUAACCUGUAAAGGGUUAAGAAACUAGGAUAACCUUGCUGGCAC
This is a long non-coding RNA of Chelonia mydas (Green sea turtle), 2362 nucleotides long. RefSeq lists it as uncharacterized. The transcript has 3 exons. The record is from RefSeq and is a predicted model, not a curated record. NCBI's taxonomy places the organism in Eukaryota, Metazoa, Chordata, Testudines, Cheloniidae.